RNAcentral lists this ribosomal RNA (253 nucleotides) under uncultured bacterium. RNAcentral's name for it is "partial 16S ribosomal RNA". It matches the Rfam family "Bacterial small subunit ribosomal RNA", at positions 524 to 776 of the family's 1533-position model. The record is from RNAcentral.
UACGAAGGGGGCUAGCGUUGUUCGGAAUUACUGGGCGUAAAGCGCACGUAGGCGGAUACUUAAGUUAGGGGUGAAAUCCCGGGGCUCAACCCCGGAACUGCCUUUAAUACUGGGUAUCUCGAGUUCGAGAGAGGUGAGUGGAAUUCCGAGUGUAGAGGUGAAAUUCGUAGAUAUUCGGAGGAACACCAGUGGCGAAGGCGGCUCACUGGUCCAUUACUGACGCUGAGGUGCGAAAGCGUGGGGAGCAAACAGG